CUGAGUAGCUGGGACUACAGGCACACACCACCACAUCGAAGUGUUCAGACAGUGUCAUCCGGACUCUGCCUCUGCAUCUUUCAGUUCUGCUUCAACAUCGGCUCCUGCUUCAGUAGGCUGUGAAGGUGCUGCACUGAGACAACAUUACCGACUUUAUGAUAUGUGGUAGUUAAGAGUAUACAGAGGGGAAGAAAUCACAUCCAGUAAGUUGUUUGCUUAACAUACUUAUUAUAGUUCUCACUUAUAAGCUAAUUUAAGCAAUUUUUUAGGUAUACAUAUUCUAAGCUAAAUCUAACAUAGCUUUAUUUUCUGAUCUCAAAGAAGAUCUUAAUUCCACUGAAAUUAUUGUUAUCAAUAUCAUGUUUCAUAUGCUUGUUAAUAUUUAGAUAUUGUGAUACCUACAUACAUACAUACAUAUUUGAUAAAAUAUAGCAAUAGAUAUACCUAGAAAUACAUCUACCUUUUUUAAUGAGGCUUUAGCUCAUGGCAACUUGAGCACAAAAAAAGGAUGACUGUAGUAUCCAUAGUUGCAAUAUACAGGAGUAAUCCUACUUCAUUGAAGUACCUUUAUGAAAGGAUAGCAUUGUACUACAUUAAGGGUCAUAAAUUAUCAUGAUACUGAUGAAUGGAUUUGUUAGAGAAAAUAAGUAAAGUGGUAUUUAGUAUGUGAGAAUCAGUUAGCACUCAAAAUUUUAUUUUUUUCACUAACUUCUGUGAAACUUUCUAUUGUUUUCUUCUGGGAUUUGACUUCUCCAUUUGGCGAGCUGUCAUUUUGACAGGGGUUAACACCAAAGAUCAUCUUUCCGGAGGGCCAUUUUACUGGCAAGCUUGAAGACAGCUGUGGUGGGAUUUGCUUCACAUUAAACCCAGUUUAGAGGAGAAUGCAGA
Non-coding RNA from Macaca mulatta (Rhesus monkey), 888 nucleotides. The record is from RefSeq and is a predicted model, not a curated record. NCBI's taxonomy places the organism in Eukaryota, Metazoa, Chordata, Mammalia, Primates, Cercopithecidae.